GUUCCCAUACAAUCACCGAAGUUAAGCAACGUUGAACCUGGUCAGUACCUACAUGGGCAACCGCUUGGGAAUACCAGGUGCUGUAAG
Non-coding RNA from Acanthosepion pharaonis, 87 nucleotides. Lineage: Eukaryota; Metazoa; Mollusca; Cephalopoda; Sepiida; Sepiidae. The record is from the annotation of a GenBank genome assembly.